GAUGAACGCUGGCGGCGUGCUUAACACAUGCAAGUCGAACGGAAAGGCUCCUGCUUGCAGGGGUACUCGAGUGGCGAACGGGUGAGUAACACGUGGGUGAUCUGCCCUGCACUUCGGGAUAAGCCUGGGAAACUGGGUCUAAUACCGGAUAGGACGAUGGUUUGGAUGCCAUUGUGGAAAGUUUUUCGGUGUGGGAUGAGCUCGCGGCCUAUCAGCUUGUUGGUGGGGUAAUGGCCUACCAAGGCGUCGACGGGUAGCCGGCCUGAGAGGGUGUACGGCCACAUUGGGACUGAGAUACGGCCCAGACUCCUACGGGAGGCAGCAGUGGGGAAUAUUGCACAAUGGGCGCAAGCCUGAUGCAGCGACGCCGCGUGGGGGAUGACGGCCUUCGGGUUGUAAACUCCUUUCGCUAGGGACGAAGCGCAAGUGACGGUACCGGGAGAAGAAGCACCGGCGAACUACGU
This 464-nucleotide ribosomal RNA is filed under the name uncultured bacterium. RNAcentral's name for it is "partial 16S ribosomal RNA". It matches the Rfam family "Bacterial small subunit ribosomal RNA", at positions 28 to 506 of the family's 1533-position model. The record is from RNAcentral.